This 244-nucleotide long non-coding RNA is filed under the name Carica papaya (papaya). RNAcentral describes it as "long non-coding RNA (CPAP_LNC015084)". The record is from RNAcentral. Lineage: Eukaryota; Viridiplantae; Streptophyta; Magnoliopsida; Brassicales; Caricaceae.
UAGUUACCUGUUUUCUGAUUCAAUUAUCUGCAAAUAUAUAAGAUAUAUGUUUUUAUGUGUGUGAAAGCUAUAUAUAUUACAUGUAUUUAGUUUUGUGUCAUAAAAUCUACUUAUUGGGAUAAUGUAUCUUACCCCCUCAUCAUUUUCAGAUCCUGCAGAGACAGUUGAGGAGUAAACGGUAAUAGCAGAGAAGUAUUUUGCAAGUUAGACUCUUUAAGAACUUAGGUUGCUAUUUUGUAUUUUU